This 301-nucleotide ribosomal RNA is filed under the name uncultured bacterium. RNAcentral's name for it is "partial 16S ribosomal RNA". It matches the Rfam family "Bacterial small subunit ribosomal RNA", at positions 509 to 809 of the family's 1533-position model. The record is from RNAcentral.
CAGCAGCCGCGGUAAUACGGAGGGUGCAAGCGUUAAUCGGAAUUACUGGGCGUAAAGCGCACGCAGGCGGUCUGUCAAGUCAGAUGUGAAAUCCCCGGGCUUAACCUGGGAACUGCAUUUGAAACUGGCAGGCUAGAGUCUUGUAGAGGGGGGUAGAAUUCCAGGUGUAGCGGUGAAAUGCGUAGAGAUCUGGAGGAAUACCGGUGGCGAAGGCGGCCCCCUGGACAAAGACUGACGCUCAGGUGCGAAAGCGUGGGGAGCAAACAGGAUUAGAUACCCGCGUAGUCCCUGUCUCUUAUAA